CAAUAGCGUAUAUUUAAGUUGUUGCAGUUAAAAAGCUCGUAGUUGGAUUUCGGAUGGGAUUUGCCGGUCCGUCGUUACGAUGUGCACUGGCCAGUCCUAUCUUGUUGUCGGGGACUAGCUCCUUGGAUUCACUUCCUGGGACUAGGAGCUGACGAGGUUACUUUGAGUAAAUUAGAGUGUUCAAAGCAAGCCUACGCUCUGAAUACAUUAGCAUGGAAUAACACGAUAGGACUCUGGCUUAUCUUGUUGGUCUGUGAGACCAGAGUGAUGAUUAAGAGGGACAGUCGGGGACAUUCGUAUUUCAUUGUCAGAGGUGAAAUUCUUGGAUUUAUGAAAGACGAACUUCUGCGAAAGCAUUUGUCAAGGAUGUUUUCAUUAA
This 379-nucleotide ribosomal RNA is filed under the name uncultured eukaryote. RNAcentral's name for it is "partial 18S ribosomal RNA". It matches the Rfam family "Eukaryotic small subunit ribosomal RNA", at positions 592 to 976 of the family's 1831-position model. The record is from RNAcentral.